This 497-nucleotide ribosomal RNA is filed under the name uncultured bacterium. RNAcentral describes it as "partial 16S ribosomal RNA". It matches the Rfam family "Bacterial small subunit ribosomal RNA", at positions 28 to 507 of the family's 1533-position model. The record is from RNAcentral.
GAUGAACGCUGGCGGCGUGCCUAAUACAUGCAAGUCGAGCGAACGGACGAGAAGCUUGCUUCUCUGAUGUUAGCGGCGGACGGGUGAGUAACACGUGGAUAACCUACCUAUAAGACUGGGAUAACUUCGGGAAACCGGAGCUAAUACCGGAUAAUAUUUUGAACCGCAUGGUUCAAAAGUGAAAGACGGUCUUGCUGUCACUUAUAGAUGGAUCCGCGCUGCAUUAGCUAGUUGGUAAGGUAACGGCUUACCAAGGCAACGAUGCAUAGCCGACCUGAGAGGGUGAUCGGCCACGCUGGAACUGGGACACGGUCCAGACUCCUACGGGAGGCAGCAGUAGGGAAUCUUCCGCAAUGGGCGAAAGCCUGACGGAGCAACGCCGCGUGAGUGAUGAAGGUCUUCGGAUCGUAAAACUCUGUUAUUAGGGAAGAACAUAUGUGUAAGUAACUGUGCACAUCUUGACGGUACCUAAUCAGAAAGCCACGGCUAACUACGUG